RNAcentral lists this ribosomal RNA (444 nucleotides) under uncultured bacterium. RNAcentral describes it as "bacterial SSU rRNA". It matches the Rfam family "Bacterial small subunit ribosomal RNA", at positions 331 to 792 of the family's 1533-position model. The record is from RNAcentral.
CCAGACUCCUACGGGAGGCAGCAGUGGGGAAUAUUGCACAAUGGGGGAAACCCUGAUGCAGCGACGCCGCGUGAGUGAAGAAGUAUUUCGGUACGUAAACUUCUAUCAGCAGGGAAGAAAAUGACGGUACCUGACCAAGAAGCCCCGGCUAACUACGUGCCAGCAGCCGCGGUAAUACGUAGGGGGCAAGCGUUAUCCGGAUUUACUGGGUGUAAAGGGAGCGUAGACGGCCAUGCAAGUCUGAUGUGAAAACCCGGGGCUCAACCCCGGGACUGCAUUGGAAACUGUGCGGCUGGAGUGUCGGAGAGGCAAGUGGAAUUCCUAGUGUAGCGGUGAAAUGCGUAGAUAUUAGGAGGAACACCAGUGGCGAAGGCGGCUUGCUGGACGACGACUGACGUUGAGGCACGAAGGCCAGGGGAGCGAAAGGGAUUAGAUACCCCUGUA